Molecule: long non-coding RNA, 1534 nt
Organism: Alligator mississippiensis (American alligator)
Lineage: Eukaryota; Metazoa; Chordata; Crocodylia; Alligatoridae
Exons: 3
Source: RefSeq, a predicted model, not a curated record
GUGGAAGCUGUCUCUCCAAGGCAACAUCCUCGUCCUAGGAAAUAAAACCGCCGAACAAAGGAUAGCUUGAUUGGUGGAACCUCAAGACCAUUAAAAAGAUUAGAGGGUUACUAACACCUGUGGAAUGAAGAGUUUAGAAGAGACCAGAUGACAACAUCACAAAACACUUGUCACAACUAGCAGUACUUCAGAACCUACUGAUAAUCCUGGCAGAAUGGCUAAGGACUGAACAAAACAAAACUACUCCUAGAAGUGGUCUGAAGAUUUCAUCUGAGGCUCCCUACAAGAAAACAAAGGGAAGUCUGCAUUGCCACUCCUUGUUCUGUACCUAUCCUGUGGAUAAUGAGAGCGAUCUACUCAUUAAGGCUGAAUUUAGCAGCCUUUACAAGGUCUAUAAGAAACUCCUGAACUAAGCAUUUAAAAAACCAAACAACAGAAACUGUCACCAACAUAAGCAGUGAGUAUUAUACCAAGACAGGAUGAACUGAUGUAGCUAGAGCUUCCUCUUUGACAAUGGUAAGAAACAGAGGAAAAAUAAUUCUCCUUGCACUUAUAUAGCACUGUAUCUGCCUUCACCUUAUCUUACUCUACACUUUACUAGCUGGGAAGUUGCUAUCACUAACGAAGUGGAGAAGCUACUUUCUAUUGAAUAAUUGGAAAAUUUCUUUGUGAAUUGAGGUUUGGUUCCCCAAAUACUCCCAAGUCCAAAUGAAUAUUCUUCCUGAUGCUCCUCCUUGAUAAAUUUGGCUUCAUAUUUAUAAGUAGCAUUAAUAACAAAUGUCACAACAUUAUUUUGGUAAAUACCCUAAUUUUCUGAAAAAUGCUGUUAUCUUUGUUAAUAUUGCUCACCACAGAUAUUUACAGAGCUGACCAAUUAAAGAAAAAACAUAAAUUUUGAAAUGUUUUUGUUAUUCUCUUGACUGGAAUAUUGUUCUCAAUAUUUUCUUAUCACAAGUCUCAAUAGCACAUAAGUAGAAGCUAUCAUAAAACCGUGUCAUUUUAUAUACUCAGAAGCUGAAAAAGAGAAUUUUUGGUGGCUUGUAACAAGUCCCAAAUUUAUAAUACAGCUAUUAUCACUCAGAUUUCUUUCUGGUACUUGAGUGGCUCUUAAGAUAGAAUUAAUACUGAAUAUUGUUGCCAGAUUCAACAUUUCCAGAAGCAACAAAGCUAUUUUAUCAUUCACCGUAGUACAGCACUCAGGCUUAAGAUUUAUCCACAGGCCCCAAUUCAGGAAAGAAAUUCAUUUAAAACAGCCUUUAUGCACAGGAAUAAGUUCCACUGAAGUUCAAUGAGGACCAGUUAGUUUCUUAAGGAGUUUCUGAGGAGAAACUCAGUAACAGAAACAAAUACACCCACUAAAAAAAAAAAAAUCUGGCUUUGUUAUGAAGAAAAACACUUGGGUUGAUUGGACCAGGAUGAAUAAAAAUAGACUUCCCUGAGAGGGUGACUGCCUGGCAAGUUAAAGCUGAGUUUCUUCCUUUCCCCUCUGGAGAACCUCUAAAAUAAAAUUGCCACUUGGUUUCUGUCUAGUUGA